GCAGCCGCCACGGGAAUACAGAGGGUGCGAGCGUUAAUCGGAUUUACUGGGCGUAAAGCGUGCGUAGGCGGCUUCUUAAGUCGGAUGUGAAAUCCCUGAGCUUAACUUAGGAAUUGCAUUCGAUACUGGGAAGCUAGAGUAUGGGAGAGGAUGGUAGAAUUCCAGGUGUAGCGGUGAAAUGCGUAGAGAUCUGGAGGAAUACCGAUGGCGAAGGCAGCCAUCUGGCCUAAUACUGACGCUGAGGUACGAAAGCAUGGGGAGCAAACAGGAUUAGAUACCCCGGUAGUCCCUGUCUCUUAUAC
Molecule: ribosomal RNA, 302 nt
Filed under: uncultured bacterium
Lineage: Bacteria
Description: partial 16S ribosomal RNA
Rfam family: Bacterial small subunit ribosomal RNA
Source: RNAcentral